UUCACACUAAAUAAGCGUAUCUUCGCCUAGCUUUAGAAAAAGCAGCUUUAUCUACUACUGUUCGAUGCUCCUCUUUUUCCUCUUUAAUUUAUUUUCAAGAUGAACUCGAUUUUACAUUGGCUCUAAUGGUUAAUGGUUUGUCUUAAUUUCUAUAGUAAUUCCGAUGAAAAUUUUCAUCACUCAAAUAAAUUAAAGGUAUUAAAUAUGUCUAAUUCAGUAAAUGGUACAGUAAAGUGGUUUAACGAAGAUAAAGGUUUUGGUUUUAUCACGCCAGAAAACGGCGGUAAGGACGUAUUCGUUCAUUUCCGUUCAAUUGUAUCAGAAGGUUAUAAGUCUCUUUCUGAAGGCCAGCAGGUAGCAUUUGUUAUCGAGCAAGGUCAGAAAGGACCACAGGCGAGCAACGUAGUUCCUGCGUAAUCGACCUCAGAAAAAGGACCGUCCGGUCCUUUUUCAAAG
Molecule: small RNA, 456 nt
Filed under: Alteromonas confluentis
Lineage: Bacteria; Pseudomonadati; Pseudomonadota; Gammaproteobacteria; Alteromonadales; Alteromonadaceae
Description: cspA thermoregulator
Rfam family: cspA thermoregulator (bases 112-453)
Source: Rfam by way of RNAcentral